RNAcentral lists this long non-coding RNA (1380 nucleotides) under Zonotrichia albicollis (white-throated sparrow). Its description in RNAcentral is "lncRNA (ENSZALG00000003583.1)". Lineage: Eukaryota; Metazoa; Chordata; Aves; Passeriformes; Passerellidae. The record is from RNAcentral.
AAAAGCCACCUAUGAGAUCCUGCAGGCACUGCAAGGUUUCCUGGCUCAGAGCUGAGCCAGCUGGGAGGAGGAGGAGGAAGAGGAGGAGGAGGAGGAGGAAGAGGAGGAGGGAGCUUCCCAACCCAACCAUUCUGCUCCCCUGGGAUCCUCAGGAAUGUUCCUGGUGGGAAAUCCAGGCAGGAUCCUCCAGAGAAACGGGAAUGGAGUUUGGUGUGGGCAGGAGCCACUUCCAAGGCUUUCAGGAGAGCUGGAUCCCAGAAUUCUGGGCUUCCCCCCCGGGCAAAGCCGCUCCAGGAGGACACAAACACUGGGAGAAGCCACUUGGUCUUUUCCAUCACCUGGAAAAGAUUUUUUAUUUCCUUCAGGGAAAAAACAGGGAGAAGAAUUCCCCUGGAACCUCUCACCCCCUUUCCAAAGCCACUGAAGCGCCAGAAUCGUGAGGUGCGUUGGAUUUCUCAUGGAUCAGGGAAGAAUAAUCCGGAAUUUGUCCCAAAUUCCUUGGUGUAAUCACUGUAAAUACGGAAUUACUGUACAGAUCCUGUGCAUCCAGUCCUGGUGAAGCUGUGGUUCUGCUUCCUGAGAUUCCCAAAGGUGGGAACACCACUGUGAACUGCAGGCAGCUCGGAAUUUCCCCAUGGAAUUUCUUCUCCCCUCUUUUCUGUAUAGCUUGUCACCGUUUUUUUACGUUUUGUAAUUCCUUUUUUGUAUGAGAAACUUUUUAUAAUUCUUUUUAAAUUUUUUUUUACUUGAUUUGUUCGAACUUGGAUAGAAUUUAGGUUCUUAAAAAUGUGAGGAGCUGAAAUCCCUGUGCUGCAGGAUAGGAAGAAAAUUGGGAAAAAUGGAACUUGCAGAAGAGAGAAGUGACCAGAUCCAGGACUGUCUUGUUUUUAAGGCUGUGGGAGACUUGGGAUCAUCUUCCUCUGUGUAUGUUUGGGAAAGGAAAACAUACUUUUGAAAAAUAAGGAUUAAACAGGAAAAAUUUCCAUUAUUUCCAUCUGAAUUCUGAUUUUUGUUUUAGUUGGAUGAAAUGUUGGGAAGUUGUUGAUUUCCUGGGAGGAGGAGGAGGAGGAGGAUGGAAGUUGUUCCUCAGCCUCUGGAAAAGCUGGAAUUGCCACCAAGUGCAUCCGAGGGGUUUUUUGGGAUGGAAAUCCCAAAAUCUCCCAUCCCAUUCCAACCCCUGCCAGGGACAGGGACACCUUCCCCAUCCCAGGUGUUUCCAAGAGGGAAAUUUGGAUUUUGAAGCCAAUUACAGGGAGCUGCCUUCCCAUGGCAGCAAUAUCCAAAGGAUUGCAAAGGAUUCCAAGGAACAAAAAAAUCACCCUGGUUUUGAAGGAAACCUUGAUUUUAUUAGUCAAUAAAUAGAAUAAAUAGGGAAUAUCA